Molecule: ribosomal RNA, 143 nt
Filed under: uncultured eukaryote
Lineage: Eukaryota
Description: partial 18S ribosomal RNA
Rfam family: Eukaryotic small subunit ribosomal RNA
Source: RNAcentral
ACGAGCACGAGUUCAUCAUCCUUGACCGAAAGGUCUGGGUAAUCUUGUUAAACUCUGUCGUGCUGGGGAUAGAGCAUUGCAAUUAUUGCUCUUCAACGAGGAAUGCCUAGUAAGCGCAAGUCAUCAGCUUGCGYUGAUUACGU